Molecule: small RNA, 99 nt
Filed under: Salmonella enterica
Lineage: Bacteria; Pseudomonadati; Pseudomonadota; Gammaproteobacteria; Enterobacterales; Enterobacteriaceae
Also listed under: 1 other name
Description: partial RtT sRNA
Rfam family: RtT RNA
About the family: This family represents a bacterial cis-regulatory element known as RtT RNA.
Source: RNAcentral
CGACUAAGGUUCGAUUCGAGCGCAGCGAGAAAGCGUUGCCGCAGGCAACGACCCAAAGGGCGAAGCGCGCAGCGCUGAGUAAUCCUUCCCCCACCACCA